GGGUGAUUAGCUCAGAUGGUAGAGCUUCUCCUUUACACGGAGAUGGUCGAAGGUUCGAUUCCUUCAUCACUCA
RNAcentral lists this transfer RNA (73 nucleotides) under Candidatus Psyllophila symbiotica. RNAcentral's name for it is "Enterobacteriaceae bacterium Cmel17 tRNA-Val". It matches the Rfam family "tRNA". Rfam says of the family: Transfer RNA (tRNA) molecules are approximately 80 nucleotides in length. The record is from RNAcentral. Lineage: Bacteria; Pseudomonadati; Pseudomonadota; Gammaproteobacteria; Enterobacterales; Enterobacteriaceae.